This 85-nucleotide transfer RNA is filed under the name Candidatus Omnitrophota bacterium. Its description in RNAcentral is "Candidatus Omnitrophica bacterium (groundwater metagenome) tRNA-Tyr". It matches the Rfam family "tRNA". Rfam says of the family: Transfer RNA (tRNA) molecules are approximately 80 nucleotides in length. Their secondary structure includes four short double-helical elements and three loops (D, anti-codon, and T loops). Further hydrogen bonds mediate the characteristic L-shaped molecular structure. tRNAs have two regions of fundamental functional importance: the anti-codon, which is responsible for specific mRNA codon recognition, and the 3' end, to which the tRNAs corresponding amino acid is attached (by aminoacyl-tRNA synthetases). tRNAs cope with the degeneracy of the genetic code in two manners: having more than one tRNA (with a specific anti-codon) for a particular amino acid; and 'wobble' base-pairing, i.e. permitting non-standard base-pairing at the 3rd anti-codon position. The record is from RNAcentral. Lineage: Bacteria; Pseudomonadati; Candidatus Omnitrophota.
GGGCAGGUACCUAAGUGGCCAACAGGGGCAGACUGUAAAUCUGCUGGCUUUGCCUUCGGUGGUUCGAAUCCACCCCUGCCCACCA